RNAcentral lists this ribosomal RNA (253 nucleotides) under uncultured bacterium. Its description in RNAcentral is "partial 16S ribosomal RNA". It matches the Rfam family "Bacterial small subunit ribosomal RNA", at positions 524 to 776 of the family's 1533-position model. The record is from RNAcentral.
UACAGAGGUGGCAAGCGUUGUUCGGAAUUACUGGGCGUAAAGGGCGCGUAGGCGGUUUCGUAAGUCCCGUGUGAAAGCCCCCGGCUCAACUGGGGAAUUGCACGGGAAACUGCGAGGCUUGAGUUCGGGAGAGGGAAGCGGAAUUCCGGGUGUAGCGGUGAAAUGCGUAGAUAUCCGGAGGAACACCGGUGGCGAAGGCGGCUUCCUGGACCGACACUGACGCUGAGGCGCGAAAGCGUGGGGAGCGAACGGG